GACGAACGCUGGCGGCGUGCCUAAUACAUGCAAGUAGAACGCUGAAGAGAGGAGCUUACUCUUCUUGGAUGAGUUGCGAACGGGUGAGUAACGCGUAGGUAACCUGCCUUGUAGCGGGGGAUAACUAUUGGAAACGAUAGCUAAUACCGCAUAACAAUGGAUUACACAUGUCAUUUAUUUGAAAGGGGCAAUUGCUCCACUACAAGAUGGACCUGCGUUGUAUUAGCUAGUCGGUGAGGUAAUGGCUCACCUAGGCGACGAUACAUAGCCGACCUGAGAGGGUGAUCGGCCACACUGGGACUGCGACACGGCCCAGACUCCUACGGGAGGCAGCCGUAGGGAAUCUUCGGCAAUGGGGGCAACCCUGACCGAGCAACGCCGCGUGAGUGAAGAAGGUUUUCGGAUCGUAAAGCUCUGUUGUAAGUCAAGAACGGGUGUGAGAGUGGAAAGUUCACACUGUGACGGUAGCUUACCAGAAAGGGACGGCUAACUACGUG
This 497-nucleotide ribosomal RNA is filed under the name uncultured bacterium. RNAcentral's name for it is "partial 16S ribosomal RNA". It matches the Rfam family "Bacterial small subunit ribosomal RNA", at positions 28 to 507 of the family's 1533-position model. The record is from RNAcentral.